RNAcentral lists this unclassified non-coding RNA (20 nucleotides) under Mus musculus (house mouse). RNAcentral describes it as "oocyte_clustered_small_RNA677". Lineage: Eukaryota; Metazoa; Chordata; Mammalia; Rodentia; Muridae. The record is from RNAcentral.
GUGCUUGCUUCUUGUCAUCU